Molecule: ribosomal RNA, 866 nt
Filed under: Fusarium solani
Lineage: Eukaryota; Fungi; Ascomycota; Sordariomycetes; Hypocreales; Nectriaceae
Description: eukaryotic LSU rRNA
Rfam family: Eukaryotic large subunit ribosomal RNA (bases 631-866)
Source: RNAcentral
AAUGGCUCAGUGAAGGCGUUCGGACUGGCCCAGAGAGGUGGGCAACUACCACUCAGGGCCGGAAAGUUCUCCAAACUCGGUCAUUUAGAGGAAGUAAAAGUCGUAACAAGGUACUCCGUUGGUGAACCAGCGGAGGGAUCAUUAUCCGAGUUAUACAACUCAUCAACCCUGUGAACAUACCUAUAACGUUGCCUCGGCGGGAACAGACGGCCCCGUAACACGGGCCGCCCCCGCCAGAGGCACCCCCUAACUCUGUUUCUAUAAUGUUUCUUCUGAGUAAACAAGCAAAUAAAUUAAAACUUUCAACAACGGAUCUCUUGGCUCUGGCAUCGAUGAAGAACGCAGACGAAAUGCGAUAAGUAAUGUGAAUUGCAGAAUUCAGUGAAUCAUCGAAUCUUUGAACGCACAUUGCGCCCGCCAGUAUUCUGGCGGGCAUGCCUGUUCGAGCGUCAUUACAACCCUCAGGCCCCCGGGCCUGGCGUUGGGGAUCGGCGGAAGCCCCCUAGCGGGCACAACGCCGUCCCCCAAAUACAGUGGCGGUCCCGCACGCAGCUUCCAUUGCGUAGUAGCUAACACCUCGCAACUGGAGAGCGGCGCGGCCACGCCGUAAAACACCCAACUUCUGAAUGUUGACCUCGAAUCAGGUAGGAAUACCCGCUGAACUUAAGCAUAUCAAUAAGCGGAGGAAAAGAAACCAACAGGGAUUGCCCCAGUAACGGCGAGUGAAGCGGCAACAGCUCAAAUUUGAAAUCUGGCUCUCGGGCCCGAGUUGUAAUUAGUAGAGGAUGCUUUUGGUGAGGUGCCUUCCGAGUUCCCUGGAACGGGACGCCAUAGAGGGUGAGAGCCCCGUCUGGUGGACACCGAUC